Molecule: ribosomal RNA, 465 nt
Filed under: Vreelandella stevensii
Lineage: Bacteria; Pseudomonadati; Pseudomonadota; Gammaproteobacteria; Oceanospirillales; Halomonadaceae
Description: partial 16S ribosomal RNA
Rfam family: Bacterial small subunit ribosomal RNA
Source: RNAcentral
CCUACGGGAGGCAGCAGUGGGGAAUAUUGGACAAUGGGCGAAAGCCUGAUCCAGCCAUGCCGCGUGUGUGAAGAAGGCCUUCGGGUUGUAAAGCACUUUCAGUGGGGAAGAAAGCCUUGGGGCUAAUACCCUCGAGGAAGGACAUCACCCACAGAAGAAGCACCGGCUAACUCCGUGCCAGCAGCCGCGGUAAUAUGGAGGGUGCGAGCGUUAAUCGGAAUUACUGGGCGUAAAGCGCGCGUAGGCGGUCUGAUAAGCCGGUUGUGAAAGCCCCGGGCUCAACCUGGGAACGGCAUCCGGAACUGUCAGGCUAGAGUGCAGGAGAGGAAGGUAGAAUUCCCGGUGUAGCGGUGAAAUGCGUAGAGAUCGGGAGGAAUACCAGUGGCGAAGGCGGCCUUCUGGACUGACACUGACGCUGAGGUGCGAAAGCGUGGGUAGCAAACAGGAUUAGAUACCCUGGUAGUC